UACGAAGGGGGCUAGCGUUGUUCGGAAUUACUGGGCGUAAAGCGUGCGCAGGCGGCUUUGUAAGCCAGAUGUGAAAUCCCCGGGCUUAACCUGGGAAUGGCAUUUGGGACUGCAAGGCUUGAGUGCGGCAGAGGAGACUGGAAUUCCUGGUGUAGCAGUGAAAUGCGUAGAUAUCAGGAGGAACACCGAUGGCGAAGGCAGGUCUCUGGGCUGACACUGACGCUCAUGCACGAAAGCGUGGGGAGCAAACAGG
RNAcentral lists this ribosomal RNA (253 nucleotides) under uncultured bacterium. RNAcentral describes it as "partial 16S ribosomal RNA". It matches the Rfam family "Bacterial small subunit ribosomal RNA", at positions 524 to 776 of the family's 1533-position model. The record is from RNAcentral.